GUGGGUAUAGCUCAGUGGGAGAGCACAUGCUUAGCAUGCACGAAGUCCAGGGUUCAAUCCCCAGUACCUCCA
RNAcentral lists this transfer RNA (72 nucleotides) under Camelus bactrianus (Bactrian camel). It matches the Rfam family "tRNA". From Rfam's summary of the family: Transfer RNA (tRNA) molecules are approximately 80 nucleotides in length. Their secondary structure includes four short double-helical elements and three loops (D, anti-codon, and T loops). Further hydrogen bonds mediate the characteristic L-shaped molecular structure. tRNAs have two regions of fundamental functional importance: the anti-codon, which is responsible for specific mRNA codon recognition, and the 3' end, to which the tRNAs corresponding amino acid is attached (by aminoacyl-tRNA synthetases). tRNAs cope with the degeneracy of the genetic code in two manners: having more than one tRNA (with a specific anti-codon) for a particular amino acid; and 'wobble' base-pairing, i.e. permitting non-standard base-pairing at the 3rd anti-codon position. RNAcentral also lists the same sequence under 2 other names. Lineage: Eukaryota; Metazoa; Chordata; Mammalia; Artiodactyla; Camelidae. The record is from Rfam by way of RNAcentral.